This 548-nucleotide ribosomal RNA is filed under the name uncultured bacterium. Its description in RNAcentral is "bacterial SSU rRNA". It matches the Rfam family "Bacterial small subunit ribosomal RNA", at positions 355 to 896 of the family's 1533-position model. The record is from RNAcentral.
UGGGGAAUUUUGGACAAUGGGCGCAAGCCUGAUCCAGCAAUGCCGCGUGCAGGAUGAAGGCCUUCGGGUUGUAAACUGCUUUUGUACGGAACGAAACGGUCCUUUCUAAUACAAGGGGCUAAUGACGGUACCGUAAGAAUAAGCACCGGCUAACUACGUGCCAGCAGCCGCGGUAAUACGUAGGGUGCGAGCGUUAAUCGGAAUUACUGGGCGUAAAGCGUGCGCAGGCGGUUAUGUAAGACAGAUGUGAAAUCCCCGGGCUCAACCUGGGACCUGCAUUUGUGACUGCAUAGCUAGAGUACGGUAGAGGGGGAUGGAAUUCCGCGUGUAGCAGUGAAAUGCGUAGAUAUGCGGAGGAACACCGAUGGCGAAGGCAAUCCCCUGGACCUGUACUGACGCUCAUGCACGAAAGCGUGGGGAGCAAACAGGAUUAGAUACCCUGGUAGUCCACGCCCUAAACGAUGUCAACUGGUUGUUGGGCCUUCACUGACUCAGUAACGAAGCUAACGCGUGAAGUUGACCGCCUGGGGAGUACGGCCGCAAGGUUA